Molecule: ribosomal RNA, 450 nt
Filed under: uncultured bacterium
Lineage: Bacteria
Description: bacterial SSU rRNA
Rfam family: Bacterial small subunit ribosomal RNA
Source: RNAcentral
GUGGGGAAUUUUGGACAAUGGGGGCAACCCUGAUCCAGCCAUGCCGCGUGUGUGAAGAAGGCCUUCGGGUUGUAAAGCACUUUCGGACGGAACGAAAUCGCACGAUCUAACAAGUCGUGCGGCUGACGGUACCGUAAGAAGAAGCACCGGCUAACUACGUGCCAGCAGCCGCGGUAAUACGUAGGGUGCGAGCGUUAAUCGGAAUUACUGGGCGUAAAGUGUGCGCAGGCGGUUGAGCAAGUCGAGUGUGAAAGCCCCGGGCUUAACUUGGGAAUUGCGCUCGAAACUACUUGACUGGAGUGUGGCAGAGGAAGGUGGAAUUCCACGUGUAGCGGUGAAAUGCGUAGAGAUGUGGAGGAACACCAAUGGCGAAGGCAGCCUUCUGGGCCAACACUGACGCUCAUGCACGAAAGCGUGGGGAGCAAACAGGAUUAGAAACCCUUGUAGUCC